ACUACAGUUUGACACCAUUCAUGCAAAACCUGGUAAGUCUUUUAGAUUCACUUGAAAUAAUGGACUGUCACCCAAUAAUUGUGUGUGGAGAUUUUAAUGAGAACCAGUUGCAGAGUGGAAGAAAACAGAUUCUGGAGCAGUUUCAGUCGAGAGGGUAUUCACAGCUGAUCACUUCUGGCACUACAGACAAGAACACCCUGCUUGACCUCAUUUUUAUUUCUCAGCCACAGAAAUGUCUAUAUUCAGGUGUUCUGAGAUCAUAUUACAGUUACCACAACCCUGUGUUUUGUGUCCUGUCCUCGAGCCAAUCAUGAAGUCGUCUGGUGAGUUUUGAAACAAUUACAGAUCAUGUUUGUUACAGAGUUUACUGAUUGUAGAGCAUGAAAAAUAUUUUUCAUUGAAAAAAUUGUCUUCCCUACUCUGUCUGUAAGAAGACCCUUUCUUAUUGCAAUGUUAUUAAUCAUUUCACCAAAUCAUUGCUGAACUUCAUGCAGAGCAGAGAACAUCUGCUAUCAUGCACCUCUGAUCUGAAAUGUGCUGCAACAUUUAUUAAACCAACAUCAUUUCUUUUAUUCUCAUGUUUUAAAUGACUAAAUCUUUUUACUGUGACGUAUGUAGCUCAACAAACGAGAUCUUCCCCUCCAAGGGCUUGAAAAUAUGAAAUAGUAAAUAAAUAAAUCCCACAUAAAUGCAGGUAUUUAAUAUGGGUCACAUGAAUAAAUACAGACAAUUAUAUUUUCUUGAUUAUAGUAGCUUUUGUAGAAUCAAAAGUUUUUGUGAUGAAUGAGUUUUUGCUUAUCAUGUUUUACAGGUAAAAAAUGUCAAAAGUUAUAAACUAUCUUUAGGCUACCAGAGAUGUCUAUAAUGAUACAUUAUGUAGAGAAAAACAUUAGUACAGCUUACAGAAUAUGUAUAAAAACUGAUUUAGAAGUAAAUGGAUAGUUUUCUGAAAGUUCCCGACUACAGUUUAACACCACCCACCCAGAUCAGCCCCCAAGUGUCUAUGUAAUGCUGGUAUGGUGUGUGAGUUUGACUUGGCCUUUAUCCGGGUGGGUUUGGGUUUGGGUGGAUAAAGGCCAAGUCAGAAUUCUCUGAGCAGCUGGAAAAAGCUGCUAAUAAACAAAGACAUCAAAAAGUGUGGGCUUUAGGUGUAGCCCCCGCUUUCUGAUGCACUAAUUAGACUUAGUAACCGACACCCCAUACCAGCAUUACAUAGACACUUGGGGGCUGAGCUGGGUGGGUGGUGUUAUAAGCACGUGUUUUGUUAGAUAUAUUUUUUCAGACACCAUCUUCAUGAACUGCUGAGCCAAACCUGAUCCAUCAGUGCUGGACUGCACAGAUAACUACAUGCCACAAGGAGACUGCUGUGUUAUGAAUUGCCAUACCAGUGUGUCUUCAAUGGAGAAGAUGACACACCCAUCACCUGACCUCCUGCCUGAUCUGGAGACCAUCAUCAUGCUACCACACUACACACCUCUGAGACCAUCAAUGAUGACUCAUACUGAGGAAACUGUAUUUCCUGUCAGAGAUGCUCAGUGAUCCUCAGAGCAGAGAGAGGUAUUGCUGUCUUCUGAGUUCUUCCGUGUCCCAACUGAGGCCUUCAAACCUCAUUGCAGAGCUCAUGUCUUUCCUCACCAUCAUGUGAGUGUGAGAUUGCUCUGGAUUCUGGUUAUGUGGCCUGCAGCACCUAUAAGAAUAAGCUCGUCCAGUGUGCCUGCAUUCCAGCUUCACAGAAAAGAACAUCAGACACCAGCGAGGGAGGAUAAGAAAGACAGACACAACAACAUUGUCAUCCCCUAUGUAGCCGGUGUAUCAGAAA
Maylandia zebra (zebra mbuna) is the source of this 1819-nucleotide non-coding RNA. Lineage: Eukaryota; Metazoa; Chordata; Actinopteri; Cichliformes; Cichlidae. The record is from RefSeq and is a predicted model, not a curated record.